Molecule: small nuclear RNA, 149 nt
Organism: Vulpes vulpes (red fox)
Lineage: Eukaryota; Metazoa; Chordata; Mammalia; Carnivora; Canidae
Gene: U12
Rfam family: U12 minor spliceosomal RNA
About the family: Although the U12 sequence is very divergent from that of U2, the two are functionally analogous.
Source: Ensembl
CUGCCUUCAACUUAGGAGCAAGAAAAACAACCAUGUGGGGCAACACCCAAGUCCUCACUGCUAAUAGGAGAUGGACUUUUGAGCAGGUAAAGUUGCCCCUAGGUGACCCAGCCCCCUGCAGGAUGCCGGGGUGUCGAGAUCCGCUCCUG